Molecule: microRNA precursor, 187 nt
Filed under: Oryza sativa Indica Group (long-grained rice)
Lineage: Eukaryota; Viridiplantae; Streptophyta; Magnoliopsida; Poales; Poaceae
Description: MIR812 microRNA precursor family
Rfam family: MIR812 microRNA precursor family
Source: Rfam by way of RNAcentral
CAUCCGUCCUAAAAUAAGUGUAAUUUAACAGUUCGUCUUAUUUGAAAAAAAAAUAUGAUUAGUAUUUUUAUUAUUAUUAGUUGGUAAAACAUGAAUAGUAGUUUAUGUGUGACUAUUUUUUUAUAUUUUUUUUUAAAUAAGACAGAUGGUUAAACGUUAAAUAUGGAUACCCACGACUAUAUUUAUU